AGGGCAGUAGCUCAGUGGUAGAGCUUCCGCUUCGUAUGUGGGAAGACCUGGGUCCGAUUCCCGGCUGCUUUC
RNAcentral lists this transfer RNA (72 nucleotides) under Toxocara canis (dog roundworm). It matches the Rfam family "tRNA". From Rfam's summary of the family: Transfer RNA (tRNA) molecules are approximately 80 nucleotides in length. The record is from Rfam by way of RNAcentral. Lineage: Eukaryota; Metazoa; Nematoda; Chromadorea; Rhabditida; Toxocaridae.